This is a long non-coding RNA of Lates calcarifer (barramundi perch), 512 nucleotides long. RefSeq lists it as uncharacterized. The transcript is spliced from 3 exons. The record is from RefSeq and is a predicted model, not a curated record. Lineage: Eukaryota; Metazoa; Chordata; Actinopteri; Centropomidae.
GUGUAGUCAGGAGUCACUAAAUGUAACAGUACAGUAAAGUGUUAAAACUGUCACAAACUGUCAGUGUAGUCAGGAGUCACUAAAUGUCACAGUAAGAUGUCAAAAUGUCAGUCUAGUCACUAAAUGUAACAGUAAAGUGUUAAAACUGUCAGUGUAGUCAGGAGUCACUAAAUGUCACAGUAAGAUGUCAAAAUGUCAGUCUAGUCACUAAAUGUCACAGUAAAAUGUCAAAAUGUCAGUCUAGUCACUAAAUGUAACAGUACAGUAAAGUGUUAAAACUGUCACAAACUGUCAGUGUAGUCAGGAGUCACUAAAUGUCACAGUAAGAUGUCAAAAUGUCAGUCUAGUCACUAAAUGUAACAGUAAAGUAUUAAAAACUGUUAAAAACUGUCAGUGUAGUCAGGAGUCACUAAAUGUCACAGUAAGAUGUCAAAAUGUCAGUCUAGUCACUAAAUGUAACAGUAAAGUAUUAAAAACUGUUAAAAACUGUCAGUGUAGUCAGGAGUCACUAA